GAUGAACGCCGGCGGUGUGCCUAAUACAUGCAAGUCGUACGCACUGGCCCAACUGAUUGAUGGUGCUUGCACCUGAUUGACGAUGGAUCACCAGUGAGUGGCGGACGGGUGAGUAACACGUAGGUAACCUGCCCUGGAGCGGGGGAUAACAUUUGGAAACAGAUGCUAAUACCGCAUAACAACAAAAGCCGCAUGGCUUUUAUUUGAAAGAUGGCUUUGGCUAUCACUCUGGGAUGGACCUGCGGUGCAUUAGCUAGUUGGUAAGGUAACGGCUUACCAAGGCGAUGAUGCAUAGCCGAGUUGAGAGACUGAUCGGCCACAAUGGAACUGAGACACGGUCCAUACUCCUACGGGAGGCAGCAGUAGGGAAUCUUCCACAAUGGGCGCAAGCCUGAUGGAGCAACACCGCGUGAGUGACGAAAGGUUUCGGCUCGUAAAGCUCUGUUGUUGGAGAAGAACGUGCGUGAGAGUAACUGUUCACGCAGUGACGGUAUCCAACCAGAAAGUCACGGCUAACUAC
This 520-nucleotide ribosomal RNA is filed under the name uncultured bacterium. Its description in RNAcentral is "bacterial SSU rRNA". It matches the Rfam family "Bacterial small subunit ribosomal RNA", at positions 28 to 504 of the family's 1533-position model. The record is from RNAcentral.